This 683-nucleotide ribosomal RNA is filed under the name Metopaulias depressus. RNAcentral describes it as "small subunit ribosomal RNA". Lineage: Eukaryota; Metazoa; Arthropoda; Malacostraca; Decapoda; Sesarmidae. The record is from RNAcentral.
UAAUUUAUAUACAAAAGUGUGAGUUAGCAAUAAUAUUAUUAAGUCUGAUAAAUAUUUGUGCCAGCAUUCGCGGUUAUACUUUAAGAUUAAGUAAAAAAUAAUAGUUUUAGUUAAAUUAAAAAUUUUAUAAAAUUUAUAAGUAAUAAAAGGUAAAAUUUAAUUGUUAUAUUAUAUUAAAUUGUAGUAUUUAUAAUUGAAGCUAAAAAAUCUAUUUAUAAACUAGGAUUAGAUACCUUAUUAUUUUAGAAAAUAAUAUAAAACUAGAUUAUUAUUAGUUAUUCACUUUAAAAUUAAAAAAUUUGGCGGUGAUUUAAUCUUUUCAGAGGAAUUUGUUAUUUUAAAUGGAUAAUCCACGAAAAAUCUUACUUAUUUUUGUUAAUAUAAAUACUAGUUUGUAUACCAUCAUUAUCAGAUAAUUCUGUAAAAGGUAAAUUAUUUAAAUUAAAUAACUGUUGAAAUUAGAUCAAGGUGCAGCUUAUAGAUAAGGUAAAAAUGAAUUACAAUAAAUUAUUUUAUAAUGGAUUAAUUAAAAGAAUAUUUUAUUAUGAAAGAGGAUUUGAUAAUAUUAUAAUUUUAAUAAGUUUAUAAGAUAGUAGCUCUAAAUCAUGUACAUAUUGCCCGUCACUUUCAUUUAUAAAUGAAAUAAGUCGUAACAUAGUAGGAUGUACUGGAAAGUGUAUCUA